UACGUAGGGGGCAAGCGUUGUCCGGAUUUAUUGGGCGUAAAGAGCGUGUAGGCGGUUUGGUAGGUCCGCUGUGAAAACUCGAGGCUCAACCUCGAGACGCCGGUGGAAACCAUCAGGCUAGAGUCCGGAAGAGGAGAGUGGAAUUCCUGGUGUAGCGGUGAAAUGCGCAGAUAUCAGGAGGAACACCGGUGGCGAAGGCGGGACUCUGGGCCGAUACUGACGCUGAGGAGCGAAAGCGUGGGGAGCAAACAGG
RNAcentral lists this ribosomal RNA (253 nucleotides) under uncultured bacterium. RNAcentral describes it as "partial 16S ribosomal RNA". It matches the Rfam family "Bacterial small subunit ribosomal RNA", at positions 524 to 776 of the family's 1533-position model. The record is from RNAcentral.